Molecule: ribosomal RNA, 349 nt
Filed under: Thymaris sp. BL1505
Lineage: Eukaryota; Metazoa; Arthropoda; Insecta; Hymenoptera; Ichneumonidae
Description: eukaryotic LSU rRNA
Source: RNAcentral
CCUGAGAAACCCAAAAGAUCGAAUGGGGAGAUUCAUCGUCAGCGAUCCUGGCACGUGUGCGGUUCGUGAUGCUGCGAAGACUUCGGUCUCGUGGCACGCGUCCGUAUGGUUUUAUUGCCAGGUGUCGUCGGCGUGCACUUCUCCCCUAGUAGGACGUCGCGACCCGUUGGGUGUCGGUCUACGGCCCGGGUGGGCGCCUGUCAUGUGUCACGCUUCACGGCGUCAUGUGGCAGACCCCCGGUUGUCUGGCCGGCUGCUCGGCGGUACUCGCACGGUAUCGGGCCGCAAAUAUUCGAACUGCGUCCGGCCCGCCGCAAGCGAGGUCAGUGUUUCCCGGAUGUACGGACCU